CAAAAGGCAGUGACAGGGAGAAGUAUCCCCCAUACCCCGGCAAAGAGAGAGGGCGGCUGGUGUGAGCCCUUGCGGGGAGGCGGAAGAACAGGCACCCUGGAGCCGCGGGGCGGAAAUGCCCUGCCGGUCCCCGCCGUUACCGGGUGAAGAGUGCGCGUCAGCCAGGCGCGAAUUCAGGUGGAACCACGGACUGAUUGUUCGCCCUGAGC
Molecule: non-coding RNA, 209 nt
Filed under: Oscillibacter sp.
Lineage: Bacteria; Bacillati; Bacillota; Clostridia; Eubacteriales; Oscillospiraceae
Description: T-box sequence
Rfam family: T-box leader
About the family: Uncharged tRNA acts as the effector for transcription antitermination of genes in the T-box leader family. T-boxes are found upstream of many aminoacyl-tRNA synthetase genes and some amino acid biosynthetic genes usually in Gram-positive bacteria.
Source: RNAcentral